GCUAGUGUGGCUCAAUGGCAGAGCAGCUCAUUCGUAAUGAGCAGGUUGGGGGUUCGAUUCCCUUCACUAGCUCCA
Molecule: transfer RNA, 75 nt
Filed under: Bacillota bacterium
Lineage: Bacteria; Bacillati; Bacillota
Also listed under: 2 other names
Description: tRNA-Thr
Rfam family: tRNA
About the family: Transfer RNA (tRNA) molecules are approximately 80 nucleotides in length.
Source: RNAcentral